UACGUAGGGUGCAAGCGUUGUCCGGAAUUAUUGGGCGUAAAGAGCUCGUAGGCGGUGUGUCGCGUCGGCCGUGAAAACCUGCAGCUUAACUGUGGGCUUGCGGUCGAUACGGGCAUCACUGGAGUUCGGCAGGGGAGACUGGAAUUCCUGGUGUAGCGGUGAAAUGCGCAGAUAUCAGGAGGAACACCGGUGGCGAAGGCGGGUCUCUGGGCCGAUACUGACGCUGAGGAGCGAAAGCGUGGGGAGCGAACCGG
Molecule: ribosomal RNA, 254 nt
Filed under: uncultured bacterium
Lineage: Bacteria
Description: partial 16S ribosomal RNA
Rfam family: Bacterial small subunit ribosomal RNA
Source: RNAcentral